Molecule: non-coding RNA, 515 nt
Organism: Nannospalax galili (Upper Galilee mountains blind mole rat)
Lineage: Eukaryota; Metazoa; Chordata; Mammalia; Rodentia; Spalacidae
Source: the annotation of a RefSeq genome assembly
UUCCUUCCCGCACUAUGAAGUGUUUUAGUAGUAACAUGUGACAGCUCCAUGAAGAUUGUGACUCUAAAAGGGGGUCAUGUCACAGGACAAUUGCUGACAAGCUGUGAAAACACUUCCUCUUACUGCUAACCGACACGACCAUGGACACCAGGCUGCUCACCACUUUAGUUGUUUGUCUCCUGGGAGUAGGGUCUUUUGAUGCCCAAAUUAUCCAGAUUCCAAGAUAUCUGGUCAAAGGCAAAGGACAAAGAACAAACCUGAGUUGUAGCCCUGAACAAGGACACACCCUUGUUUAUUGGUACCAGCAGAGGCAGAACAAGAAAUUAAAGCUCUUGAUUAACUUUCAGGGUCAACACAUUCUUGACCAAACAAACAUGGUCAAGGAGCGGUUCUCAGCUGAAUGGCCCUCCAACUUACCCUCCAGUCUGGAAAUCCAGUCCUCAGAAACAGGAGACUCGGCACUGUACCUCUGUGCCAGCAGUCAGUCCACAAACACCCGAAAUGUGGAGAGGUAG